This 238-nucleotide long non-coding RNA is filed under the name Carica papaya (papaya). Its description in RNAcentral is "long non-coding RNA (CPAP_LNC010196)". Lineage: Eukaryota; Viridiplantae; Streptophyta; Magnoliopsida; Brassicales; Caricaceae. The record is from RNAcentral.
UUACUACUACAAGAUCAUCUACCACCCCGGUAGAGGUAAUGUGGUCGUUGAUGCUCUAAACUGGAAGGAGUCUGCUUUAUUAGCCCCGUCAAUGGCCUCUAGUUGGAAGUUAGUUAAUGCAAAUCAGGCACUCUACCUUAACCAUUAUGGCAAUGGUGCCUAUCUCACACAUAUCCAAGCUUUGCCUGGUCUUUUCAAGAAGAAUUGGGAAGCCUAAUCCACUGACCUAAAGAUAACC